This is a long non-coding RNA of Mustela lutreola (European mink), 1000 nucleotides long. RefSeq lists it as uncharacterized. The record is from RefSeq and is a predicted model, not a curated record. The transcript is spliced from 5 exons. Lineage: Eukaryota; Metazoa; Chordata; Mammalia; Carnivora; Mustelidae.
GUGCCAGAACAGGGAGUGAGGCGGCGGAGCGGUAGCCAGGGAGACCAGAGGCAGUUGCCAGAGAAAUGCAGCGCUGAGCACCGAGGCUUGGGGUGGGGGGAGAGUGCGCGUGGGGGAGGGGAGCCCCCGCCCCCCCGCUGCGCUUCCAGAAGCGCCCCCUGGCUUCCCAGCGCUGUCACGGAGGCUGCGGCGCUUCGCAGUGCUCCCGGGAGGCACGUGCAGAGGGCCGAGGCCUGCAAGGCGCACCCCGCUGGCCGCCUGCACCGGGGCUGCCUCGACCUCCCGGAGGCCCCGGGGCAGCCCUGGGCCCCGUCACGGAGCCUGUGGCCGGGCCCGGGCACCCCGCGAGCACGCUACUAAGUCAGAAGCGACUGAAUGACACACAAGACCCGCUCCAGGACGCCGCCCAGGGAGCGACGCAAGUGAGGCACCCAAAGGUACCACGGGGAAGCCGCGGAAUGUUUCUGUUCAAGCGGAAUCUCAGAGUGGAAGAUCUGAAAAGUGGCUCCAGCUGGAGGACUCCUGGCACCAGGAUAAGAAGUGCUGUCCCCGGACACUGGCAGAACAGAACGCUAAGAGGACUUCCUCGGCUGCGCUGCAGUCCGGUCCGGGGCCCUCCAUGAAUCCCCAGCCCUGGGCCAGCUUCCUGCUAAGGGGGCAGCGUGAAAUCCAGGAAGCCUGAGCCCAGGCCCCUGAGGCCCUGGGGACAAAGCAGUACCACAGAACACAUGCUGCGGUGUGACAUUUUACAUAUUUUGGAAGCACUGCUCACUCAGCCGCUUUCCUCACGGAGAAAGGCGUCAAGGAGCCCCGACACUCACCGCCACCUCCGGAAGCCUCGUCCCGGCUGCAGAGGCCGUCCGUCUUCACUGCUCAAGUGUGUCCGCGGAGCGCCCUCAGCCCCCGGGGCUCGCCCGAGCUCCGGACCCCCGGGCGUUCACAGCACCGCACAACCCCUCACUCUGCAGGCCAGAGCUCUCCUCUCCACUCACACACUCGG